UACGGAGGGUGCAAGCGUUAUCCGGAAUCACUGGGUUUAAAGGGUGCGUAGGCGGCUUAGUAAGUCAGGAGUGAAAGCCUGCGGCUUAACCGUAGAAUUGCUUUUGAUACUGCUGAGCUUGAAUUAGGUUGAGGUUGGCGGAAUGUGACAUGUAGCGGUGAAAUGCAUAGAUAUGUCAUAGAACACCAAUUGCGAAGGCAGCUGACUAGACCUUAAUUGACGCUGAGGCACGAAAGCGUGGGGAGCGAACAGG
This 253-nucleotide ribosomal RNA is filed under the name uncultured bacterium. RNAcentral's name for it is "partial 16S ribosomal RNA". It matches the Rfam family "Bacterial small subunit ribosomal RNA", at positions 524 to 776 of the family's 1533-position model. The record is from RNAcentral.